Neofelis nebulosa (Clouded leopard) is the source of this 605-nucleotide long non-coding RNA. RefSeq lists it as uncharacterized. The transcript has 3 exons. NCBI's taxonomy places the organism in Eukaryota, Metazoa, Chordata, Mammalia, Carnivora, Felidae. The record is from RefSeq and is a predicted model, not a curated record.
CUUUUUUUCUUGCAGGGCUGCGUCCCUGUCCUUGUGUGCCAUCCUGCCUGGCACAGAACGGAGGUGCUCCAGGUCUAUCUGCUGGACCAGCGAGCCGAGGCAGAAUAAACUUCAGGAGGCCCAACUGUGACUACUGCGACUCCCCUUCACAAAAAUGAGGACAUCUCCACCUUCAAACCGUUUCCUACUGGUUAUGGUUCUAGACAUUAUUCUCUAAAUGACCGAAGGCACUGCAACUCAAAGUGUGUUCUAAAGACCAGCAGCGCAGAAAGACCCAGAAGCUUGUCAACAAUGCAGCCUCUCAGGCCCACUACAGACCUGCAGAAUCGGAUGGGGGUUUCUAUAGUCUUCAGUGUAAGAGAUGCACCGUCCUAAGGUUUAGGACAUGUGGGAAGUCACUCAACUGUACCAACGGUUAAACCAGGAAAGAAGGAACCCAAGAAUAUUAAAAGCACAGUAACUACAUCUUAGCGAUCAGAAGAACUAUUAACUAAUUUAGCCUACGUCUGAAAUUUGUCCUGGCAUUUAGCAAGAGCUUGUGAGACUGCAAACACCCAACCAGUCUCUCUCUUCUAGGUCACUCUAAUAAAUGGCUACGUGAUGAA